CAAAUAUGGCUACACAAGUUUAUGAAAUCAGACAAAUUUCAAGCAACUCGAUGCAAUUGAAUCUCAAAGUUAGAGUCAUUCGAACGUGGGAAAUUCUGGAUUGAUUCAAGCCUGGAAUAUCAUAUUCCAUGUAAUUGGUUAUACAUAAUUCAAAGGAAAACUAUGAUCAAAGUCAACAUUUCAUUAAUGAUGCUUUCUCCAUUUAGUGCUCGAAUUGUUAAUGUGAUCUCACGCCAGUGAUGACUUAAUGACAUACGGAAUUUCCAACUCAAUAGUUCCGAGAGACAAGUGAACUGACUCUCAAACAAAUCAAAGAGUUGAAGAAUGUAGGAACUAAUGACAGUUCCUCAACAAUGGUAUCGUCACCCUUUCUAUCCAUGGAGCCAGUUGCUCG
Molecule: non-coding RNA, 394 nt
Organism: Nicotiana tabacum (common tobacco)
Lineage: Eukaryota; Viridiplantae; Streptophyta; Magnoliopsida; Solanales; Solanaceae
Source: RefSeq, a predicted model, not a curated record